RNAcentral lists this ribosomal RNA (202 nucleotides) under uncultured bacterium. RNAcentral's name for it is "partial 16S ribosomal RNA". It matches the Rfam family "Bacterial small subunit ribosomal RNA", at positions 328 to 539 of the family's 1533-position model. The record is from RNAcentral.
ACGCUCGACACCUACGGGAGGCAGCAGUUAGGAAUAUUGGGCAAUGGAGGGGAACUCUGACCCAGCAACGCCGCGUGAAGGAAGAAGGUUUUCGGACUGUAAACUUCUGAUCUAAGGGAAAAAGAAAGUGAUGGUACCUUAGGAGAAAGCCACGGCUAACUACGUGCCAACAGCCGCGGUAAUCUGAGCGGGCUGGCAAGGC